RNAcentral lists this ribosomal RNA (170 nucleotides) under uncultured rumen bacterium. RNAcentral's name for it is "partial 16S ribosomal RNA". It matches the Rfam family "Bacterial small subunit ribosomal RNA", at positions 338 to 524 of the family's 1533-position model. The record is from RNAcentral.
CCUACGGGAGGCAGCAGUCGGGAAUAUUGCGCAAUGGAGGAAACUCUGACGCAGUGACGCCGCGUAUAGGAUGAAGGUCCUCGGAUUGUAAACUAUUGUCGUUAGGGAAGAGAAAGGACAGUACCUAAGGAGGAAGCUCCGGCUAACUACGUGCCAGCAGCCGCGGUAAU